Molecule: ribosomal RNA, 495 nt
Filed under: uncultured bacterium
Lineage: Bacteria
Description: partial 16S ribosomal RNA
Rfam family: Bacterial small subunit ribosomal RNA
Source: RNAcentral
GACGAACGCUGGCGGCGUGCCUAAUACAUGCAAGUAGAACGCUGAAGGAGGAGCUUGCUCUUCUGGAUGAGUUGCGAACGGGUGAGUAACGCGUAGGUAACCUGCCUGGUAGCGGGGGAUAACUAUUGGAAACGAUAGCUAAUACCGCAUAACAGUAGAUGUUGCAUGACAUUUGCUUAAAAGGUGCAAUUGCAUCACUACCAGAUGGACCUGCGUUGUAUUAGCUAGUUGGUGGGGUAACGGCUCACCAAGGCGACGAUACAUAGCCGACCUGAGAGGGUGAUCGGCCACACUGGGACUGAGACACGGCCCAGACUCCUACGGGAGGCAGCAGUAGGGAAUCUUCGGCAAUGGACGGAAGUCUGACCGAGCAACGCCGCGUGAGUGAAGAAGGGUUUCGGAUCGUAAAGCUCUGUUGUAAGAGAAGAACGAGUGUGAGAGUGGAAAGUUCACACUGUGACGGUAUCUGACCAGAAAGGGACGGCUAACUACGUG